Molecule: unclassified non-coding RNA, 2007 nt
Filed under: Hevea brasiliensis (rubber tree)
Lineage: Eukaryota; Viridiplantae; Streptophyta; Magnoliopsida; Malpighiales; Euphorbiaceae
Source: RNAcentral
GAGAGAGUACUCUAUUAUCAAUUUAUUCCAUAAAACUACCAGUCUACAAUACAACACUCACAAAGGUCUACAAAGCUAACAAGUACAUAGCCUAGAUCGUUGACCACUGGCACUGGGCUUUUCCAAAUGCGUGGCGGUCCUCGUUUAGAAAGGUGUUGGGCCAGAAAGCCCAAUCUUCUGUAUAUCUGAGACUGAUGUUUGCUACUAAGAGGUCUGUCUCUGACUACUAAAUCGCCUCUUCAAAGAAUUAACUUCAAGGGUCGCAUCAUUACAUUGUCUUCAUGAUCCAAUAUAUGGCAAUGGUAGACGUAACCAGGCUCUGCAGUUGCAUCAAACGCAUAAGAUGCAUUCGAGUGGAUGUAAGCAAAUCUCACUAGAAUCUUUGUCACAUACCCUGGUGUCAUCUUAUACACGUUCUUCCACCCUUUCAAUUGUGCUGGCACCUCUAACUUCUUGCCGCUUGCAUACUUGUUUAUUUUGCAUUUAAUUGCAUCGUUCGAUUUAUUCAUGCAAGCUUUAAACUCCUCUAUAUUGAUCAACUCCGUUUGAUCCAUCACCACGAAUAAUCCCAAAUGAAUAUGCAAUGGAUGAUUAUCCUCCGUUAGAUUGAUCACAUUCCAUACCUCUGUGGUCCCUUCUUUUGGGGUUUCAGUCACUGGUUCUUCGUAAGGUUUGCCAUUGAUAUAAAGAUGAAUUGGCUCAUCAGUGUUGCUUGUGUACUCGUAUAGAGCGAUGUAUCGAGUUUGGGAUGCACUGGAUAAUUCUGGAGAAGGAUAUUUUAUCAACUUUUUUGGCACUCUCCACGUGUCCACCUCCUUAUCCUUCUUGAUGAUGAACUUCAUCACCUUCCCAUUCGCUUCAUUGACUGGGUCCCCGUCUGGAAAGGGAUACUUUGCAUUAUUGGCUAAAAUAACAGUGUCUGACUUUGACUUUGAAAAGUCAAUAACCACAUCAGCAAUUUCAGAUGGAGCUAAGAGGAUUUCAUUUGUCACUACAUGUUCUUCAAGAUAUACAGAGUCAGCUGCCACGUAGAUAAAUCUAAGACCGUUGGUGAAAAAGAAUCUGAAAAAUCUAGCAUUGCUGGCAUUUAUAAUGCGAAAUCUAUAUUUACGACGUCGUACUGUCGCAUGUGGCCAUGCCUUGCCAUUGACAAUAAUUGCGUCCCCAAAGUACUCCGGUUGCCACUGUGGAUGUAUGGAGGGAUUGUUUCCAGUAGAAUUCAUGUAUAUGGAACCAUUGAUGCGAAAGCUCCGAUCAAACACCAUCAAAGUCCGAUCAAACUCAUCGCCGUAAGGUAGACCAAGUGGGCCUUCAACCUUAGGGUGGCGAAUAAUGUAGGCUCCAACCAAGCCAGCCAAUAGGUUGACUCUAGUCAACCCCAUGGCAUGAUCAUGGUACCAUAAGUUUCCAGGUUGUUGAAAGUUGCGGUAAUGAUACGUUUUCUUAGUCCAAGUGGGUCCCUUUUCUGCAAAUCGAUUGGUGAACCAUGACUCUGCAUGUCCAUCGCUCUCGGGUUCACCAAUGACACCAUGGAGGUGCACAACAGUGGGAAUGCCCUUCUUCGUGGAAGGCACGGCAGUUGGGAUUGUUGGAUCCCAUGGAAGUAUAUGCUUUGAAGGGAGGUGAUUUUUCCAUGUCACGUAGGUAUCAACGCCGUAGAUGGCCUCAAUUGUUGGACCGGGGACGGUUGCAUUGUUCUUUGAUACACCGUAGGCAAAUACCGGUGUUGGAGGUAGGUCCCGAUGAAAUUUCCAUUCCUUCUUGAACAUGCCAAUCCUUAGCCGCUUAGGUUUGGGAACACCAUUCUCAACAUCAAAACCAUGGAUUCUGGGCAUAUCUGGAAGCUCGUCAACAAACAUUUCCAACUGGGAUGGACUUAUUAGCCUGUCUUCUGCCCAUGUUGUAGUAAGCACCAGAAACAGAGCUAACCAUGGCACACUAAACACCAGAACCCUAUCCAUGGAAACAAGACACUAGCCACCCAGCAACAGAGAGAGAGAGAGAGAG